UUUAAUGUUCUUUCUGUUUUGUAUCAUAGCCAUCCAUAUAUGGUAGUUGUAGGCGUUCCACAUUGCCAUAUACAGCAGUUCAGUGAGUACUUAAAAUCCUUGCUUUACAAAUGUGUAAAGCCCAGGUAAAAUAAACCAAUGCUAGAGCACACGGUGCACAAUCACGUGGUCUAUGACGUCAUGCUAUAGGUAUCGCGCCAAGCAUUUUUUGUCAAAGCGUUGAUUCAAGAAGAAAAUUCGUCGUAAGUAUUUUGUUACGAAUUUUUGUAAAAUGUCUUUAGUAUGUUGCAAAGCCUUUUAUAGAUGCGUACCUCCGAUCACACAGCAUCUGCCCGUGUCUGCUUUAGUUUGGCUGGAAAACGGGGCAAACUGACCAAAAUCUCAAAAUCGCUCAUGUUAUUGCUCCAAGCUGAUUCCAGAACCGCAUUAAAACCAGCUUUCUCUUGCUAAAGUCUUCAAAUGGCCGUUUUGGUUUGGUACUUUUUGUCUUCAAACAUCCGCUGAUUGAUUAUUUUUCACGUUAAAGGUGUUAUUUUCAGGCAUAAAAAGAUAUGAUAUUGCGGCAAGUUCUAAAAGAUAAAUGCUAUCGCAACAAGUUGAAACUGUUGUGUGCAAUGACGGUGGCUUGAAAGGUUUGUACCGGUUAAAACAAAGGCUUUAAAGCAUGAUAAAUAUGUUUAUGUGUUGAUAUAGAGCGGUAUAUUCGCGAGGCUAUUAUUUUUUAUAUACGCGAUUUUCACUUAAGCACACAUUCAAGACACAAGCGUAAUAAUUAUUUCUUGCUUAACGCACCGCUAAAUAUUCAAAUUUUAAAAAUCUCGAAAAGAUUACCUACGCAAAAUCAACGCAGUUUAUAGCUUUAGUAUUCAAUUUUCAAAUUAGCUUUUUUUCUCAAUCAUAAUAAAUAAGAUGGCUAACGGUGUUUUUUAUUUGCAGAUUCAAACGCAGAAUGGCUGAUGAAGGUAGGACAAACGUGUGCAGCCAGAGUGGCAAUGCUUUCCGCCAGAGGCGAAAUUUGCAUACGCUCGAGAAAAGUCACACAGAAACGUUUCCCUAGGGGUUUCAGCUCUCGAUAGACAUUGAUGAAGAGAGCAUAAGUUCACACUUAAACGUUCACGACAGGAGAGGGAACAAUCCUCGCACUUUCAGUUCUGACAUUUCCGGCUAUCUGGUGAUGACCCGUUACGAACUCACCGAGCACAUGCGCAGUCAUGAAGACAGCUGGAGUCUGCCUGCAUACAAUGUGGUGCAUUGAUUAAGCACAGGCCAUUCCUGAAUCGGGAUAUAAGGCAACGUCGCAGGAAUGUUUGUGUAAUUUAAACCAGUGAAUACUUUGAAAAAUUGAUGAAGACAUGUUGAUCUUAAUUUUUUGUGGUACAUUCUGGUCAUUGUGUCAAAUAGCAUUUUUGGCAUGAUGCAACCCUCGUGCCUCUCUAUUUUUUUGUUCUUAAGCGGCUUUCAAAUUUAAAUAUCUGUUACUAUCAAAGCCAUUGACUUGUAACAUUAAAUAGUUAUUUGCUAUCAAAGUCUACACCAAUGAAACGAUUCCUGCUUCUUUGUUUGAAUUUGACAGAGUUAUGUCCGUUUCAACUAAGAAUGUUUUGGUUAAAGAUUUUGAUAAAGUCAAAUAUCGCUGUUAGUAUCUAAUUUUCUGACUUUUCUGAAUUUUCGGGACAUAAUACAUUAUUUUACAAUCAUUGUUUAUGUAUUAUUAUACAUGAAGUUACAUGUCUUUAAAAAUAAUAAAAUUGAAGCUGACAGUUCU
Molecule: long non-coding RNA, 1765 nt
Organism: Mercenaria mercenaria
Lineage: Eukaryota; Metazoa; Mollusca; Bivalvia; Venerida; Veneridae
Exons: 2
Source: RefSeq, a predicted model, not a curated record